RNAcentral lists this ribosomal RNA (253 nucleotides) under uncultured bacterium. Its description in RNAcentral is "partial 16S ribosomal RNA". It matches the Rfam family "Bacterial small subunit ribosomal RNA", at positions 524 to 776 of the family's 1533-position model. The record is from RNAcentral.
AACGUAGGGGGCGAGCGUUAUCCGGAUUUAUUGGGCGUAAAGCGCACGUAGGUGGCUUGGUAAGUUGGACGUGAAAGCUCCUGGCUCAACUGGGAGAGGUCGUUCAAAACUGCCAGGCUUGAGGUUAGAAGAGGAGAGUAGAAUUCCCGGUGUAGUGGUGGAAUGCGUAGAUAUCGGGAGGAAUACCAGUGGCGAAGGCGACUCUCUGGUCUACACCUGACGCUGAGGUGCGAAAGCGUGGGGAGCGAACGGG